This 345-nucleotide unclassified non-coding RNA is filed under the name soil metagenome. RNAcentral describes it as "partial contains 5.8S ribosomal RNA, internal transcribed spacer 2, and large subunit ribosomal RNA". The stretch from base 1 to 120 matches the Rfam family "5.8S ribosomal RNA", at positions 35 to 154 of the family's 154-position model. The record is from RNAcentral.
GAUGAAGAACGCAGCGAAAUGCGAUACGUAAUGUGAAUUGCAGAAUUCAGUGAAUCAUCGAGUCUUUGAACGCACAUUGCGCCCCCUGGUAUUCCGGGGGGCAUGCCUGUCCGAGCGUCAUUGCUGCCCUCAAGCACGGCUUGUGUGUUGGGCCUCCGUCCUCCUCCCGGGGGCCGGGCCCGAAAGGCAGCGGCGGCACCGCGUCCGGUCCUCGAGCGUAUGGGGCUUCGUCACCCGCUCUUGUAGGCCCGGCCGGCGCUUGCCGACACAUCAAUCUUUUUUCCAGGUUGACCUCGGAUCAGGUAGGGAUACCCGCUGAACUUAAGCAUAUCAAUAAGCAGAGGA